UAGCUGGGUACAGAAGUAGUGUGUGA
This 26-nucleotide non-coding RNA is filed under the name Mus musculus (house mouse). Lineage: Eukaryota; Metazoa; Chordata; Mammalia; Rodentia; Muridae. The record is from RNAcentral.